CAGCCGCCGCGGGAAUACGAAGGGUGCAAGCGUUAAUCGGAAUUACUGGGCGUAAAGCGUGCGUAGGCGGUGAGUUAAGUCUGCUGUGAAAUCCCCGGGCUCAACCUGGGAAUGGCAGUGGAUACUGGCUCGCUAGAGUGUGUCAGAGGAUGGUGGAAUUCCGAGUGUAGAGGUGAAAUUCGUAGAUAUUCGGAAGAACACCAGUGGCGAAGGCGGCUCACUGGCUCAUACUAGACGCUGAGGUGCGAAAGCGUGGGGAGCAAACAGGAUUAGAUACCCGUGUAGUCCCUGUCUCUUAUAC
Molecule: ribosomal RNA, 301 nt
Filed under: uncultured bacterium
Lineage: Bacteria
Description: partial 16S ribosomal RNA
Rfam family: Bacterial small subunit ribosomal RNA
Source: RNAcentral